Long non-coding RNA from Penaeus indicus, 212 nucleotides. RefSeq lists it as uncharacterized. NCBI's taxonomy places the organism in Eukaryota, Metazoa, Arthropoda, Malacostraca, Decapoda, Penaeidae. The record is from RefSeq and is a predicted model, not a curated record. The transcript has 2 exons.
AGAGUCGCGAGGUUGUACGUAUGGAACAAAGAGCGAGCGAGUGAUCGUGGGAUUUUACAUACAGAUUCAGUGUAUUUUGUGUUACCUUUUGAGGAAUGUGAUCUAUCCAAAGACCAAGGCAAGGGAGAGAGAAAAGAAGCUCGGGUAAACAUAGCAAAAACGAGAGAGAAGUGAAGAAGAAAGAGAGAGGCAGAGAGAGAGAGAGAGAGAGA